UUGGCUACUAUUUAUAUAUAGUAUAGUAGGGACCAAGUGGACGAGUUGGUAUAGAUACCCGGGCAUGCAUGUGUGGUAGUAGGGUAGCGCCUGCUGGAGCAGGUAGAGAGUGGGAUGGCACUAGCGAGAUGCUGGUGAUGAUUAUUGGGCGAGAAAUGAGACUCUUGGUAAAGACGAAACGUGAAGCGACUCUCAGGACAACGGGUAGUUGAUCGCAAGGGUUUCACCGUGACGUUGGGGAUACCUGAGUAGUCUGAGCGAUUCGAAUGUAGUUCUGGCAGAACGAACAGUGGGAGUAGGAUCACUGUUGAAAGAGAGUAGCCGGUUAGUGGCCAAGCACGG
This 342-nucleotide long non-coding RNA is filed under the name Ananas comosus (pineapple). RNAcentral describes it as "long non-coding RNA (ACOM_LNC019913)". Lineage: Eukaryota; Viridiplantae; Streptophyta; Magnoliopsida; Poales; Bromeliaceae. The record is from RNAcentral.